UACGUAGGCAGCGAGCGUUGUUCGGAGUUACUGGGCGUAAAGGGUGUGUAGGCGGUUGUUUAAGUUUGGUGUGAAAUCUCCCGGCUCAACUGGGAGGGUGCGCCGAAUACUGAAUGACUUGGAGUGCGGGAGAGGAGAGUGGAAUUCCUGGUGUAGCGGUGAAAUGCGUAGAUAUCAGGAGGAACACCUGUGGCGAAAGCGGCUCACUGGACCACAACUGACGCUGAGGCGCGAAAGCUAGGGGAGCAAACAGG
RNAcentral lists this ribosomal RNA (254 nucleotides) under uncultured bacterium. Its description in RNAcentral is "partial 16S ribosomal RNA". It matches the Rfam family "Bacterial small subunit ribosomal RNA", at positions 524 to 776 of the family's 1533-position model. The record is from RNAcentral.